RNAcentral lists this transfer RNA (69 nucleotides) under Platysternon megacephalum (big-headed turtle). RNAcentral's name for it is "tRNA-His". It matches the Rfam family "tRNA". Rfam says of the family: Transfer RNA (tRNA) molecules are approximately 80 nucleotides in length. Their secondary structure includes four short double-helical elements and three loops (D, anti-codon, and T loops). Lineage: Eukaryota; Metazoa; Chordata; Testudines; Platysternidae. The record is from RNAcentral.
GUCAAUAUAGUUUAAAACAAACAUUAGACUGUGAUUCUAAAAAUAGGAGUGUAAACCCCCUUAUAGACC